AGCAGUAGCCACGGUAAUACGAAGGGUGCAAGCGUUACUCGGAAUUACUGGGCGUAAAGCGUGCGUAGGUGGUGGUUUAAGUCCGUUGUGAAAGCCCUGGGCUCAACCUGGGAAUUGCAGUGGAUACUGGGUCACUAGAGUGUGGUAGAGGAUAGUGGAAUUUCCGGUGUAGCAGUGAAAUGCGUAGAGAUCGGAAGGAACAUCUGUGGCGAAGGCGACUAUCUGGGCCAACACUGACACUGAGGCACGAAAGCGUGGGGAGCAAACAGGAUUAGAUACCCCGGUAGUCCCUGUCUCUUAUAA
RNAcentral lists this ribosomal RNA (303 nucleotides) under uncultured bacterium. RNAcentral describes it as "partial 16S ribosomal RNA". It matches the Rfam family "Bacterial small subunit ribosomal RNA", at positions 507 to 809 of the family's 1533-position model. The record is from RNAcentral.